This 324-nucleotide ribosomal RNA is filed under the name uncultured Pseudomonadota bacterium. RNAcentral describes it as "bacterial SSU rRNA". It matches the Rfam family "Bacterial small subunit ribosomal RNA", at positions 30 to 351 of the family's 1533-position model. The record is from RNAcentral. Lineage: Bacteria; Pseudomonadati; Pseudomonadota.
AUUGAACGCUGGCGGCAUGCUUUACACAUGCAAGUCGAACGGCAGCACGGGGGCAACCCUGGUGGCGAGUGGCGAACGGGUGAGUAAUAUAUCGGAACGUACCCGGAAAUGGGGGAUAACGUAGCGAAAGUUGCGCUAAUACCGCAUAUGCCCUGAGGGGGAAAGCGGGGGAUCCGCAAGGACCUCGCGUUUUCGGAGCGGCCGAUAUCGGAUUAGCUAGUAGGUGGGGUAAAGGCUCGACCUAGGCGACGAUCCGUAGCUGGUCUGAGAGGACGACCAGCCACACUGGAACUGAGACACGGUCCAGACUCCUACGGGAGGCAG